CUUCAAUUGAGUUCAGCUAGGAAACUCACUGAAUCAGACCAACAACUUAAAUUUCAAUACCACAAAGGCCCUCUUCUAACCGGUAAAAUUUCAGUAAACCUCAUUUGGUAUGGAAAAUUCAAACCAUCUCAACGAGCGAUUAUAACUGAUUUCAUAACCUCGUUAUCUUCUCCCAUAAAACCAACCACCGCAUCACAACCAUCAGUUGCCACGUGGUGGAAAUCAACUGAAAAAUAUUACCAACUCACUAACAACAAGAAAUCAGUUAACCUAGCUCUCUCACUAGGUUCUCAAAUUCUUGACGAGAAAUACUCUUUAGGAAAAUCUCUCACAACUAACCAAAUCCUUAAUCUCGCAUCAAAAGGACAACAACAAAACGCCAUCAACGUUGUCCUAACAGCUGCUGAUGUGUUAGUUGACGGUUUUUGUUCAAGUAGGUGUGGAACCCAUGGUUCUUCUUAUGGUGCACGCGUAAAUGGAAAGAGAAACAAGUUCGCGUACAUUUGGGUUGGAAAUUCGGAGACACAAUGUGCUGGUCAAUGCGCGUGGCCAUUUCACCAACCAAUUUAUGGUCCACAAAGUGCACCGUUGGUUGCACCAAAUAACGAUGUGGGUCUUGACGGAAUGGUUAUAAAUGUUGCUAGUCUUUUAGCUGGAACCGUAACAAAUCCUUUUGGUAAUGGUUAUUUUCAAGGACCUAAAGAAGCUCCUUUGGAAGCUGCUUCGGCUUGCACCGGUGUUUAUGCUAAAGGAGCUUAUCCUGGUUAUGCUGGGGACCUUUUGCUGGACAAAACAAGUGGUGCUAGCUAUAAUGCAAAUGGUGAUAAUGGAAGGAAGUAUUUGUUGCCUGCUAUUGUUGACCCUAAAACCUCGGCUUGUUCUACAUUGGUAUAAAGUAAGAGUGUUUAGUUGUUAGGCAAUGAGAGAUUCUUUGAUUUGUUAAUUCAAUUAGUUGUUAUAGCCUCGAUAAUUCUUUGAUUCUUUGUAAUUUUAAUAAAUAAAUAAUAUCAAUAUUAUUAUGUCCUCCAUAAAUAAUGUUAUUGAAUGAAGCAAAGAUAUCAUAAUUUUACCAUUAUAGUUUUAUUAUAUACUGAUGCAUUAUAAAUAGAAAGUGAAAAAGAAAAAGAGCAAUGCUAUAAAUAAAUAGUGAAAAAUCUUGAGUUGAGAGUUAUGAUGAGAUUUGCAUCAAGCCCUAUAGUUGGCAAGUUGACUAUGAAUGUGACUAAUACACCGUUCAAUUCCAAAUCAAGCCAAGCUACUUAAUAUUAAAUUUAAUUUUUUUCCAUUUUUUCCUUUUUAAAAUAAAGGGUUGGGAGUGUUGAAGCACAUAGUAUAAAUUAAAUGGUAAAAUUGAAAAAGAAAUAGUUAAUAUUAUACUGAAAAUUGAAGUAAUACUCGAUUUUAGAUACAAUGAGUAUUUUGAAUGAUUAAAUAAUUCAAUUUCUUGAUGAAAUCAUUGUAAGAUCGUGUAAACUAAUUUCAUAUUUCGUCAUCGUGAGUUUAACUCAGUUGUUAUGUACAAUGCAUAAUAUAUAGAAGGUUUGUGGUUCGAAUCCCGACCACAAUUAAAAAAAGAAAACUAAUUUCAUAUUUCCAUAAACAACCCUUAAAAUAUUGCUAAAAAAGUAAAUAUGUAUGGAUAAAUGGCGUUAAUUUCAUAAAUCCAACUUCAACUAAUGCAUAUGCAAUGGUAAAAUAAUAAUUUUUUGGUCUAUGUUCUCUCUCUUUUUUUUUUUUUUUUUUUAUAUAUAACAAAGGUUGCCUUUUCUUGCCAUAAAAUAUAAUAAAGAUUAUCUUUAAAAAAAAAUUUGUUAAGGGUUUAGUUUAAAAUUAUAAUCUUAUCAUUAUUGUCAAUAUUAAUUUUUUAUCAAGUACGUUAGAAGUUAGAAUUUCACCUUUAAAUUGAAUAAGUCGUGAAUCCAAAAUUCAAACCUGAACCCUACGUUUAUAAUAUAAUGUCCCUAUCAAUUGAGUUAUACUCACGAAGACUCUUCAUUGUCAAUAUAACUCACAAAACAUUUCAUCAUAGUUGAUCCAUAAUAGAAUCCUCGCAAUUACUGACCAUAUUCAAUAUACAAUUACUACUAAAAAAAAGUGGAGAAUUCACCAACACCCUUUCAUUUUGGAACCUGUAGAUCAACAGACUAAUGUCAUGUUAGAGUCGAACUUGACGAUGGAUACGUCACCUAGUACAACUCAACAGUCUUUGGUGGCGGUUCAAGAAACAAAUACGAAUGCUACUCUUGGGCAUUAUGAGGCGUCAAUUGAUCCGACUCAACAAAAGGAAAUUAAUCUUGUUCAACAUUUGUUGAUUCAAAGAAAAUUGUUGUGGUACCAUUUACGCCUUAUCUUACAAAAGGUCAAAAAAAGAAAAUUAGCAAGGCAACAUAUCACAACAAAGGAUUGACCCCCAACUUAAGGCGACAACGCUCUCGAACCUCGCUCUCAUAACCGCUCGAGGGAGAGUAACCGUUGGACGACGAAUCUACCAUAUUCUCAGCAGUUUCAAAGCAAAUACUCAUCUUUGUCAACCCAAAAAACGAAGGAAAUGUACAAAAUGCAAAGGAAGAAAGGAAGUACCUUUGAAGUUCAAAGGUUUUUCAGAAAAAAGAGGCAAAACUUUGUAGAACCGUAAACCCCAGAAAUGCAGCCUAGAGAGGAAGGAUUUUCGCGCAAGUUGGUCGGAGGAAAAACUGGGAAAAGAAAACAAUACACUUCUAGGUGAAGUUUAAGAGUGAAUGCAGAAUAUCUGAAACCAUGAAGAUAAAGAGCGUAAAAGUUGGAAACAAAAAGUUUCCCUUCUUUUAUAGGCUUCAAAAGUAUCCAGAUCGACGAUUCAGAAGAGAAGAAACCUUGAAACCAAAGGUUUCUGAUUCAACGAUUAAUGGCAAUAUGACCUCGAACCACGAAGGGCACUCAAGUGGCACGCGCGUGAAGCGCAAAGGCCGGUGCGUGUGCGGGCCACGAAGCAUGCACGUGGAAAGUAAAACUAAACAACCAUCACGUUAUGAACGUUUCAGUUUGAAGCAUUAAAUGCCAACUGCUCCCACUAACUCGCAUGGGGCGCCACCUCCUCGAGGAAGGAAAAACUUCUCGCAAAUGUAAAACUACAGAGGCGCCAACAUGUGAAGGCGCCUGAUCGUAUGCCUCUCUUCACAGCUAAAAGCCAUUGCGCCUUAAAUGCAUCAACAGUUUUGGGGACAAAUGUUCUGGACCAGUUAGAAGACCAAUCUUACGUUGACACGUGGCCUGGCCUACACAGCCUUAAGGCUCUGCGCCUAAAGGAACACGCCAGCUUAAAUGCAUUGUGCCACACAGGAGCGCCCGCGAUGAUAACCUUACAUGUGUCCUCUAAUCGUCCCUAAUCACACGCCGCAAAACUCGAAGACGGUUACUCUCAACGCGCGCCUAUAUAAGGGUGACCUUGCUUCACCCCCAAGGUAUGAUUCACUUUUCACAACACCUUCUAAACACUCUUUCUCAAUUCCAUUACUGACUUGAGCGUCGGAGUGCUAACGUGUCUGAAGACACCUUUUGUCCCACUGCAAGGACUCGUCACCACCGUACCAGAAACCAUCACCGUCACAUCGGAGCACUUUCCACCACUGUUACCUCUCAUCCAUCCUCACCGGACAAAUCAAAACUUCUUCUGCAAACCUUUGAACCUUAAAACUUAUCUUAAACCUGAUGAACCCCCAAUCUCAACUCACGUAAACUUAUGAAGCAAAAAAAAAAAACACAAAUAAAGAAUAUAUAAAGAGAUCACCCAAAACAAGCGAAGAUAAAAAUUGCACAUUCUUGAUACGAGCAAAAUAAGUGCAAUUUUCUUAAAUUAUACUUCACAUAUCCCUCAUUAUAAAAUCCGUUGCAAAAAAAUUGUUUAUCCUUAAUACAUGAUUAUCCAUAAAUUUUAAGUACAUUGCUUUUUUUUUUUUCUUUUUUCUUUCUAAAUAUCAAUUAUUAAUAAGAGUUUAAUGGUGGUGGAUCGACAUUUCAAAACAUUUUUGCACACACAACCAAAAAACAUUCAGAAUUCUCACAUAAAUUAAAAAUAUUAAUUGGCGUGACGAUUUUAAAUAUUUUAAUUGAUUGUGUGCAAAAUUAUUUUGAAUUGUCGAUACACUACCAUUAAUCUCUAUUAAUAUUACCAAUCUAUCUUAGAAUAUAUUUUAAUAUAGUAACAUUGAAAAUAUUUACACAAAAAGAUAUUUAAUAAUAAUUAGAGUCGACAUUUGGAACAAAUUUAUUAUUUCUUCAACUUUUUUUUAGCACGAUUUUUAUAAGAGAUGAAUAGAAUAAAAGUGAUUGAUCAUCAAUCACGCAAAAGAAGAGUUGUUACGCUCUUCGAUGGAGAAUGGACCCAAAAGCUAGGGGCAUGCCUUGUACAAAGAAUACACAGCUUUGUCGUUUUGUUUCAUAGCUGUGCUGUUGCCUGUUACUGUCCCAAAUCAAUGAAUUCAUGCAAACUGGAAUAACAAAAUAACAACGCGUGAUAUAGCUGGCACAUCCACCACUCACUCCACUCAUCCUCCUACAUAAUUUAACUUCAACUAUAUAUAUACCUACAACUACAUCUUACAUUUCCAUCACCUCACAACAUUUCCACAUUCCCUUCUACUUCAUACUUUGUUCUAUCUCAAAAUGGCAUCUUUUAAGUUAAGUGUUAUCUUCACCCUUUUUCUCACAAUUUCACUACUUCAAUUGAGUUCAGCUAGGAAACUCACUGAAUCAGACCAACAACUUAAAUUUCAAUUCCACAAAGGCCCUCUUCUAACCGGUAAAAUUUCUGUAAACCUUAUUUGGUAUGGAAAAUUCAAACCAUCUCAACGAGCGAUCAUAACUGAUUUCAUAACCUCGUUGUCUUCUCCCAUAAAACCAAAAACCACAACACAACCAUCGGUUGCCACGUGGUGGAAAUCAACUGAAAAAUAUUACCAACUCACUAACAACAAGAAAUCAGUUAACCUAGCUCUAUCACUAGGUACUCAAAUUUUGGACGAGAAAUACUCUUUAGGAAAAUCUCUCACAACUAACCAAAUCCUUAAACUCGCAUCAAAAGGACAACAACAAAACGCCAUCAACGUUGUCCUAACAGCCGCUGAUGUGUUAGUUGACGGUUUUUGUUCAAGUAGGUGUGGAACCCAUGGUUCUUCUUAUGGUGCACGCGUGAAUGGAAAGAGAAACAAGUUCGCAUACAUUUGGGUUGGAAAUUCAGAGACACAAUGUGCUGGUCAAUGCGCGUGGCCAUUUCAUCAACCAAUUUAUGGUCCACAAAGUGCUCCGUUGGUUGCACCAAAUAACGAUGUGGGUCUUGACGGAAUGGUUAUAAAUGUUGCUAGUCUUUUAGCUGGAACCGUAACCAAUCCUUUUGGUAACGGUUAUUUUCAAGGACCAAAAGAAGCUCCUUUGGAAGCUGCUUCGGCUUGCACCGGUGUUUAUGCUAAAGGAGCUUAUCCUGGUUAUGCUGGGGACCUUUUGGUGGACAAAACAAGUGGUGCUAGCUACAACGCUAAUGGUGAUAAUGGAAGGAAGUAUUUGUUGCCUGCUAUUGUUGAUCCUAAAACUUCAGCUUGUUUUACAUUGGUAUAAAGAAUAAUUGUUUUGUUGUUAGGCAAUGAGAGAUUCUUUGAUUUAUUCAUUCAAUUAGUUGUUAUAACCUCGAAAUUAAUCUUUUAUUCUUUGAUUCUUUUUAAUCUUAAUAAAUAAAUAAUAUCAAUAUUAUUAUAUUGUCCUCCAUACAUGCAACACAUGUACAGACGGACGACGGUGCACAUGGCAUACUCUAUCCAUCUCAACGAUAAACAUUCACACAAAUCAAAUUUUAUUGAAUGAAGCAAAGAUAUCAUAAUUUUACCAUUGUAGUCUUACUAUAUAUCCUGAUGCAUAAUAAAUAGAAAGUGAAAAGAAAAAAAAAUAGAACGUGAAAAAUUGAGUUGAGAGUUAUGAUGAGAUUUGCAUGAAGCUUAUAGUUGGCCAGUUGACUAUGAAUGUGACUAAUACACCGUUCAAUUCCAAAUCAAGCUACUUAAUAUUAUUAUAAUUUUUUUUCCUUUUUUUGGUAUUAAAUUUAAUUUUUCCAUUUUUUUUUCUUUUUAAAAGAAAGAGUUGGGGAGUGUUGAAGCACAUAGUAUAAAUUAAAUGGUAAAAUUGAAAAAGAGAUAGUUAAUAUUAUACUGAAAAUUGAAAUAAUACUCGAUUUUAGAUAAACUUCUUUGGCAAAUGUCCCACUCAUAAUGUGACACAAUGAUUAUUUUGAAUGAUUUUUUUUUUUUUAAGAAAUUAUUUCAAUGACUAAAUAAUUCAAUUUCUUGAUGAUAUCAUCGUAAGUAGACAUGACAACACAACCCGUCCCCAUUGGAUCCCACCCACCCCGUCCCGAUUUUAAUGGGGAAAAGCCGAAUUGGUUAUGGGUGCGGGUUUGGAGAAAACCCGGAGUUUUAAUACGGGGGCGGGGGAUACUCACACUCGCCCUCGCCCCGUUUUUUUAAAUUACUAUUUUUAUCCUUAUUUUUUAUAGUCAUAUUACUCAUAUACCCUUCUUAAUCUUAACAUAGAAGCUUUUGUUUUAAUUAUCUUGCCACUAAACAUAUUUUUUCACGAUGAUGUUAUGAUCUCUAAUGAAUUUAGAAGCUUUUGUUAUUAGCUCUUUUUGUUAUUGUGAAAAAAUAAAAUAAAAAAUUGUCUACAAUUUUCGCGGGUGGGGUUGGGGAAAUCCGUCCCCGUUGGGGCAGGUCCGGGUGUAAAAUUUCUAUCCAGACGGGUUUGGGGGUGGGGGCGGGGCUGGGUACAAUGAAACAGGGACGGGGCCGGGUAUGUUAAAACUUGCCCCCGCCCCGUUGCCAUGUUUAAUUGUAAGAUCAUGUAAAUUAAUUUUUUUCCGUGAAUUUAGUUCAGUUGAUAAGGACAAUGCAUAAUAUAGAUAAGAUUCGAUUUUUCAGACAAAAAAAAAAAAAAAACUAAUUUAUUUCCAAAAACAACCCUUAAAAUAUUACUAAAGAAGUAAAUUUGUAUGGAUAAAUGGCGUUAAUUUCAUAAUUCCAACUUCAACUAAUGCAUAUGCAAUGGUUUAUAUAAAAAAGGUUGCCUUUUCUUGUCGAAAAAUAUAAUAGAGAUUAUCUUUAAAAAAAAAAUAAUGUUAAGGGUUCAGUUUAAAAUUAUAAUCUUUAUCAUUAUUGUCAAUAUUAAUUUUUUUAUCAAGUAGGUUAGUGUUAGAAUUUCAUCUUUAAAAUGCAUAAGUCGUGAAUCCAAAAUUCACACCAUAUCAACUAAGUUAUGCUCACGAAGACUCUUUAUUAUCAAUAUUACUCACAAAACAUUUCAUCAUAGUUGAUCCAUAAUAGAAUCCUCGCAAUUACUACCAUAUUCAAUAUACAACUACUAUUAAAAAAAAGUGAAGAAUUCACCAACACCCCUUCAUUUUGGAACCUCUAGAUCAACAGGCUAAUGCCAUGUUAGAGUCGAACUUAACGAUGGAUACGUCACCUAGUACAACUCAACAGUCUUUGGUGACGGUUCAAGAAACAGAUACGAAUGCUACUCUUAGGCAUUCUGAGGCGUCAAUUCAUCCGACUCUACAAAAGGAAAUUGAUCUUGUUCAGCAUUUGUUGAUUCAAAGAAAAAUGUUGAGGUGCCAUUUACGCAUUAUCUUACAAAAGGUCAAAAAUAGAAAAUUAGCAAGGCAACAUAUCACACCCGAUCUAUGAAUUCCCCUAUAGAACCGAAGGGUGGUUGAGCAGCCUCUUUUUCUUUUGGGCCAUUUUUUUCUUUCUUCGUUUAGUUUUUUUUUGUUUUUUUCUCUUACUUUCUUUCGGUUUUGUUUUGAGGGUUUUGGUUUAGCCCCCUCUUGUAUAGUUUCUUUCUUUUUUAUUUAUAUUAUGAGUGGGUGGCAGUGUAAGGCUUUCUUGAGAUGCCAACGGUGUUGUGAUGUCCGAAUGAUCCACUCGAAAAUCAGUUGUUAGAAUUAACAGGUCUUCAAAUCGUUCAUUUAAAAAAAAGGAAACCCGAUUUUUCAAACUCUCAUUGUUGUUUUAACUCGCUCUAUUUUAUUGAAAAAAAAUAAAAUACAUUUACACUUUGCAAGACUAUAUCUAUGUGUUUGUGUCUUGUUAGACUUUGUAGAUCUCUUGUUAUUUGUUAAUAACUUGAUAAUUUUAAUUUAUCUGUAUAUUUAUGUUUUUUUUUUUCUUCCAUGUCUUGCUAAUAUAUAAGCAUUUGUGUUUGACCAUAAAGUUUAUUAAAGAUUUUAGUAUUUUUCAAUAACAUUUUUAACUUACUAAAAUGUAUUUUCUAUUUAUAUACACGUUUAUUUGUUUUGAUAACUAUUUUAUUGGUGCAAAAUAUCUACCAAUAAUAUUAAUGAUUAUUCUCCGCUUCAGAACCUAUUUUUCAAAUUCAAGGGAUCUCCUCUCGGAACAACAUAUUUUUCAUCCACCGUGCGUGGAUCUGAGACCUUAAGAGAUCCGAGUAAAAUUCCACAAAGACCAACAUAAUGUUAGUGUGUAUAUAUUUAUUGAGUGUAGCUACCGAUAGUUGAUGCUUAUUCUGCGAAACUAGAAUUUUCAAUGACAUCUAUUUGUUUUAAUUAAUAUUACAUAUAUAGAGACUCAAUAAUAAUUUUAUGUGUUCUAAAUUUCUACAUGAUCCUAUCUUUGUUGUUUUGUCUAGUUUUCCACUCGUGCCGAAUUUAAUUGAGCAGUGUUGACAACACUUUUGUUUUAACAUUCUCUUCAACAUUUACUUUUUUAUUUGCUUAAAUCAAAUAGGUGUCACACUUUAAAAUUGAAUUACACUUGUUAUGGUCAUAUAUUAACGUCAUCCAAUAAAAAAAUAAGUGUUGAUGAGAAUGUUGAAAAUAAAGUGUCAUCAAAAUUUCUUAUUUUAAUUUGAACAUGUUGUGUUUAAAUCUCAUUUUUCACAACAAAUGUGAUGUUUUACCGAUACCCUAAUGUGUGUACGAGGGUAUGAAGGUAAGACUAAGAACUAAGAAACUAUACGGUAUAUAUACUUUAUCUCAUUUUUUGUUACAUUGCAUCAAAAACCCACAUGAUAUGUCAUGUUAGCCAUGUCAUCUAACUUAGAUUGAAAGAUGAAAUUAAAGACUAAACCAAUGGGGGCUAUUCAGAGAAAUUUAUUGGAUCAUCUUAUGUCGUUUUGUGGGUUAGGGGGUAUGUCAAAAAUGUUCGGGUGGCUCUUAACAUCAUUUGGGUUUUGGAUGUGUGGGGUUAUUUAGCACCAGAGAAAUAGACUCAAAUUCAAUCAUAAGGAGGAAUAUUUGCAAUCUUAUGCGAAAAAGUUAAGCUUUAAUCAUUUUCGUGGUUGAAAUUAAGAUAUAUUACUUUCGAUUUCGAUUAUCAUUUUUUGAGGCUUAAUCAUAUUCAUUGCCUAACUGUUCUAACUUAGCUUAUUGUAUCUUCUUUUGUUUUGUUUAUCUUGUAAAGUUAAGUCGUUUCUGAUACAUCUUGUGCUGAAAGAUUUGUUUUGGUUGGUAAUUUAUAUAUUUCAUUUUGGUCUCUUAGAAAAAACUAACAAUGGGGAUAUAGGGAUUAAAAAAAUUGUUAAAAAAACAUAGGGAUAAGAUCUAAAAUAGAGAAUUGAAUGACUAAAAUUGGCUAUUUACAUAAGUAUACGUAUGGAAGUUUUGCAAAUGUCCUUUUAACCUUAAAACUUAUCUUAACAUUGAUGAGUCUGAAUCUCAACUCUCGUAAACUUUUAUGUAAAAAAAAAAAAAAAAAAACACAAAUGGAGAAAAUAUAAAGACAUUACCUAAAACAAGUGAAGAUUAAAAUUGCACAUUCUCAAUACAAUCAAAUUAAGUGCAAUUUUCUUAAAUUAUACUUCAUAUAUCGCUAAUUAUAAGAUCUGUUUUAUUUUUAAAGGUCUAAUUAUAAGAUUUGUUACAAAAAUUUGUUUGUCCCUUAAUACAAAAGUAUCUAUAAAUUUUGGGGUAAUAGUCCCUUUGGUCCAUUAAUUUGUAAUGAGCAGUUACAAUGAUCCUUAAAUGUAUAAAAGUAUCAAAAUAGUCUAUGAUUGUGCAAUUUGUUAGUCAAAAUAGUCUUUGAUGUUAAAAUACUUCAUUAAUAUUGUCAUAUUACCCCGUCAAUAUACUUACUUAUUGUCAUAUCAGUCUUUAUAAAUACUUAAUUAUUGUCAUUUUAAUCCUUAUAUGAAAAGAGUUAUUGUGAACGUACAUUGAGAGAUUACUUUAGCGCCAGAGACCAUUUUGAGUAACAGAGUGCACAAUCAGAGACUAUUUUAAAAUUUUGAUAUAUCGAGAGACUAUUGUGACUACUCAUUACACAUUCAAGAACCAAAUGAUUAUCCCAUAAAUUUUUAAAUACAUUGAUUAUUUUUUUUCUAAAUAUCUAUUAUUAAUACAACCACUCUAUCUUAGAAUAUAAAAAAUAUUUACAUUGAAAGUAUUUAUACAACAAGAUAUUUUAUAAUAGUUAGAGACAUUUGGAACAAAUUUAUUCUUUCUUAUAACUUUUCUUAGCAUGAUUUUUAUAAGAGAUGGAUAGAAUAAAAGUGAUUGAUCAUCAAUCACGCAAAAGAAAAGUUGUUACGCUCUUCCAUGGACAAUGGACCCAAAAGCUAGUGGCAUACCUUGUACAAAGGAUACACAGCUUUGUCGUUUGGUUUCAUACAUGUGCUGUUAAUUGUCCCAAAUCUAUGAAUUCAUGCAAACUGGAAUAAUAAAAUAUCAACGCGUAAUAUAGCUGGCACAUCCUCCACUCACCCUCCAACAUAAUUUGACUUCAACUAUAUACCUUUCUAUUUUACACGUUAAUUAAUUCCUUUUAAAUACACUUUCCACUAUAUAUAUACCUACAACCCCAUCUUACAUUUCCAUCAGCACAUAACAUUUCCACAUUCCUUCUACUUCAUACUUUGUUCUAUCUCAAUACAUAUCCCAAAUGGCAUCUUUUAAGUUAAGUGCAAUCUUUACUCUUUUUCUCACAAUUUCACUACUUCAUUUAAUCUCAGCUGCUAGAAAAUUCACUGAAUCAGACCAACAACUUAAAUUUCAAUACCACAAAGGCCCUCUUCUCACCGGAAAAAUCUCAAUCAACCUCAUUUGGUAUGGAAAAUUCAAACCAUCUCAACGAGCCAUCAUAACUGAUUUCAUAACCUCCCUCUCUUCUCCUAAACAAGGAACAACCACAUCACAACCAUCCGUUGCCACGUGGUGGAAAUCAACCGAAAAAUAUUACCAACUCGCGAACAAUAAGAAAUCAGUUAACCUAGCUCUCUCACUAGGUUCUCAAAUUCUCAAUGAGAAUUACUCAUUAGGAAAAUCUCUCACAACUAACCAAAUCCUUAAACUCGCAUCAAAAGGACAACAACAAAACGCCAUCAACGUUGUCCUAACAGCCGCUGAUGUGUUAGUUGACGGUUUUUGUUCAAGUAGGUGUGGAACACAUGGUUCUUCUUAUGGUGCACUCGUAAAUGG
This 11449-nucleotide long non-coding RNA is filed under the name Medicago truncatula (barrel medic). RNAcentral describes it as "long non-coding RNA (MTRU_LNC003376)". The record is from RNAcentral. Lineage: Eukaryota; Viridiplantae; Streptophyta; Magnoliopsida; Fabales; Fabaceae.